RNAcentral lists this ribosomal RNA (312 nucleotides) under uncultured bacterium. Its description in RNAcentral is "bacterial SSU rRNA". It matches the Rfam family "Bacterial small subunit ribosomal RNA", at positions 249 to 573 of the family's 1533-position model. The record is from RNAcentral.
UUGGUGAGGUAAUGGCUCACCAAGGCGACGACGGGUAGCCGGCCUGAGAGGGCGACCGGCCACACUGGGACUGAGACACGGCCCAGACUCCUACGGGAGGCAGCAGUGGGGAAUAUUGCACAAUGGGCGAAAGCCUGAUGCAGCGACGCCGCGUGAGGGAUGACGGCCUUCGGGUUGUAAACCUCUUUCAGCAGGGAAGAAGCGAAAGUGACGGUACCUGCAGAAGAAGCGCCGGCUAACUACGUGCCAGCAGCCGCGGUAAUACGUAGGGCGCAAGCGUUGUCCGGAAUUAUUGGGCGUAAAGAGCUCGUA